Long non-coding RNA from Chinchilla lanigera (long-tailed chinchilla), 298 nucleotides. RefSeq lists it as uncharacterized. The record is from RefSeq and is a predicted model, not a curated record. Lineage: Eukaryota; Metazoa; Chordata; Mammalia; Rodentia; Chinchillidae. The transcript is spliced from 2 exons.
UUGGCAGUUUCUUCCAUUGUGCUAGCUGUGGAGCAACCAGUGGCCACAAACCCAUCUCUACACCCUCUGCUCUCAGAGUGGCCAGUCUGAUGGGAAGACAACGUUCCAGCAAGAUGAUCCUGGGCUCAGCAAUGCUGCAGGUUGAAGAAGAUGAAGAAAUUGAAGCUCCUUGAAAUGAACUUUCCCCAGCAUGCUGUUGGUGGUGUGACUAGAAUGUGAAGCCUAGUCUUCUUUCUCCAGCCUGUGCUCUGAAAUAAAAUGCUCCCCGUCUGGAGGGGACAGACCCAUUCAGAUCCCA